Molecule: ribosomal RNA, 253 nt
Filed under: uncultured bacterium
Lineage: Bacteria
Description: partial 16S ribosomal RNA
Rfam family: Bacterial small subunit ribosomal RNA
Source: RNAcentral
UACGGGGGGGGCAAGCGUUGUUCGGAAUUACUGGGCGUAAAGGGCUCGUAGGCGGCCAACUAAGUCGGAUGUGAAAUCCCCAGGCUUAACCUGGGAACUGCAUCCGAUACUGGAUGGCUUGAAACCGGGAGAGGGAUGCGGAAUUCCAGGUGUAGCGGUGAAAUGCGUAGAUAUCUGGAGGAACACCGGUGGCGAAGGCGGCAUCCUGGACCGGCAUUGACGCUGAGGAGCGAAAGCCAGGGGAGCAAACGGG